GCUGGCGUAGCUCAGUCGGUAGAGCAGCUGAUUUGUAAUCAGCAGGUCGGGGGUUCAAAUCCCUCCGCCAGCUCCA
This 76-nucleotide transfer RNA is filed under the name Actinomycetota bacterium. RNAcentral's name for it is "Actinobacteria bacterium (freshwater metagenome) tRNA-Thr". It matches the Rfam family "tRNA". From Rfam's summary of the family: Transfer RNA (tRNA) molecules are approximately 80 nucleotides in length. Their secondary structure includes four short double-helical elements and three loops (D, anti-codon, and T loops). The record is from RNAcentral. Lineage: Bacteria; Bacillati; Actinomycetota.